RNAcentral lists this transfer RNA (63 nucleotides) under Tetraserica leishanica. RNAcentral's name for it is "tRNA-Glu". Lineage: Eukaryota; Metazoa; Arthropoda; Insecta; Coleoptera; Scarabaeidae. The record is from RNAcentral.
AUUUAUAUAGUUUAAAUAAAACAUUGUAUUUUCAUUACAAAAAAAGAUUUCAUCUUAUAAAUA